RNAcentral lists this ribosomal RNA (491 nucleotides) under uncultured bacterium. RNAcentral's name for it is "partial 16S ribosomal RNA". It matches the Rfam family "Bacterial small subunit ribosomal RNA", at positions 28 to 507 of the family's 1533-position model. The record is from RNAcentral.
GAUGAACGCUGGCUCCAGGCUUAACACAUGCAAGUCGAGGGGAAACGACGGGGAAGCUUGCUUCCCCGGGCGUCGACCGGCGCACGGGUGAGUAACGCGUAUCCAACCUGCCUCUGACUGAGGGAUAACCCGUCGAAAGUCGGCCUAAUACCUCAUGGCAUCGUCUGCGGGCAUCCAACGACGAUUAAAGAUUUCAUCGGUCAGGGAUGGGGAUGCGUCUGAUUAGCUUGUUGGCGGGGUAACGGCCCACCAAGGCUACGAUCAGUAGGGGUUCUGAGAGGAAGGUCCCCCACAUUGGAACGGAGACACGGUCCAAACUCCUACGGGAGGCAGCAGUGAGGAAUAUUGGUCAAUGGGCGGGAGCCUGAACCAGCCAAGUAGCGUGCAGGAUGACGGCCCUAUGGGUUGUAAACUGCUUUUAUGCGGGGAUAAAGUGAGGGACGUGUCCUUCAUUGCAGGUACCGCAUGAAUAAGGACCGGCUAAUUCCGUG